RNAcentral lists this ribosomal RNA (266 nucleotides) under Staphylococcus epidermidis. RNAcentral's name for it is "partial 16S ribosomal RNA". It matches the Rfam family "Bacterial small subunit ribosomal RNA", at positions 1 to 255 of the family's 1533-position model. The record is from RNAcentral. Lineage: Bacteria; Bacillati; Bacillota; Bacilli; Caryophanales; Staphylococcaceae.
UUUUAUGGAGAGUUUGAUCCUGGCUCAGGAUGAACGCUGGCGGCGUGCCUAAUACAUGCAAGUCGAGCGAACAGACGAGGAGCUUGCUCCUCUGACGUUAGCGGCGGACGGGUGAGUAACACGUGGAUAACCUACCUAUAAGACUGGGAUAACUUCGGGAAACCGGAGCUAAUACCGGAUAAUAUAUUGAACCGCAUGGUUCAAUAGUGAAAGACGGUUUUGCUGUCACUUAUAGAUGGAUCCGCGCCGCAUUAGCUAGUUGGUAA